This 73-nucleotide transfer RNA is filed under the name Apaloderma vittatum (bar-tailed trogon). It matches the Rfam family "tRNA". From Rfam's summary of the family: Transfer RNA (tRNA) molecules are approximately 80 nucleotides in length. Their secondary structure includes four short double-helical elements and three loops (D, anti-codon, and T loops). Further hydrogen bonds mediate the characteristic L-shaped molecular structure. tRNAs have two regions of fundamental functional importance: the anti-codon, which is responsible for specific mRNA codon recognition, and the 3' end, to which the tRNAs corresponding amino acid is attached (by aminoacyl-tRNA synthetases). tRNAs cope with the degeneracy of the genetic code in two manners: having more than one tRNA (with a specific anti-codon) for a particular amino acid; and 'wobble' base-pairing, i.e. permitting non-standard base-pairing at the 3rd anti-codon position. The record is from Rfam by way of RNAcentral. Lineage: Eukaryota; Metazoa; Chordata; Aves; Trogoniformes; Trogonidae.
GGCCAGUUAGCUCAGUCAGUCGAGCAUGGCGCUAACAACGCUAAGGUCGCGGGUUUGAUUCCUGUUCGGUUCC